UGGGCUAGAAUGCCUCUGACAACCCUAGAGAUAGGGCCUUCUGGGUAAAACCAGACAGAGUGCAAGGUGCUGCAUGGCUGUCGUCAGCUCGGGUCGUGAGAUGUUGGGUUAAGUCCCGCAACGAGCGCAACCCUUAUCUUUAGUUGCCAGCAUUAAGUUGGGCACUCUAGAGAGACUGCCGUUGACAAAACGGAGGAAGGUGGGGAUGACGUGUCGUUACCUUA
This 224-nucleotide unclassified non-coding RNA is filed under the name uncultured Acidobacteriota bacterium. RNAcentral describes it as "uncultured Acidobacteria bacterium contains 16S-23S intergenic spacer region". It matches the Rfam family "Bacterial small subunit ribosomal RNA", at positions 976 to 1197 of the family's 1533-position model. Lineage: Bacteria; Pseudomonadati; Acidobacteriota. The record is from RNAcentral.